AACGAACGCUGGCGGCAUGCCUAACACAUGCAAGUCGAAUGAGACCUUCGGGUCUAGUGGCGCACGGGUGCGUAACGCGUGGGAACCUGCCCUUAGGUUCGGAAUAACUCCCCGAAAGGGGUGCUAAUACCGGAUAAUGUCUUCGGACCAAAGAUUUAUCGCCUUUGGAUGGGCCCGCGUUGGAUUAGCUAGUUGGUAGGGUAAAAGCCUACCAAGGCGACGAUCCAUAGCUGGUCUGAGAGGAUGAUCAGCCACACUGGGACUGAGACACGGCCCAGACUCCUACGGGAGGCAGCAGUGGGGAAUAUUGGACAAUGGGCGAAAGCCUGAUCCAGCAAUGCCGCGUGAGUGAUGAAGGCCUUAGGGUUGUAAAGCUCUUUUACCCGGGAUGAUAAUGACAGUACCGGGAGAAUAAGCUCCGGCUAACUCCGU
Molecule: ribosomal RNA, 432 nt
Filed under: uncultured bacterium
Lineage: Bacteria
Description: partial 16S ribosomal RNA
Rfam family: Bacterial small subunit ribosomal RNA
Source: RNAcentral